Molecule: ribosomal RNA, 403 nt
Filed under: uncultured Methanosaeta sp.
Lineage: Archaea; Methanobacteriati; Methanobacteriota; Methanomicrobia; Methanotrichales; Methanotrichaceae
Description: bacterial SSU rRNA
Rfam family: Archaeal small subunit ribosomal RNA
Source: RNAcentral
CGACGAGCAAUAUGAAGGUCAGGCUGAAGACCUUACCCGAUUAGCUGAGAGGUGGUGCAUGGCCGUCGUCAGUUCGUACUGUGAAGCAUCCUGUUAAGUCAGGCAACGAGCGAGACCCACGUCCACAGUUGCCAGCAUACCCUCCGGGGUGAUGGGUACACUGUGGAGACCGCCGCUGCUAAAGCGGAGGAAGGAGUGGGCAACGGUAGGUCAGUAUGCCCCGAAUCUCCCGGGCUACACGCGGGCUACAAUGGUUGGUACAAUGGGCAUCUACCCCGAAAGGGGAAGGAAAUCUCUUAAAGCCAAUCGUAGUUCGGAUUGAGGGCUGCAACUCGCCCUCAUGAAGCUGGAAUCCGUAGUAAUCGCGUUUCAACAGAACGCGGUGAAUACGUCCCUGCUCCUU